AAGGUGGCCUACGCCACAGCCAUGGACUGGUUCAUGGCCGUGUGCUACGCUUUU
Non-coding RNA from Oryzias latipes (Japanese medaka), 54 nucleotides. Lineage: Eukaryota; Metazoa; Chordata; Actinopteri; Beloniformes; Adrianichthyidae. The record is from Rfam.